Molecule: unclassified non-coding RNA, 353 nt
Filed under: soil metagenome
Description: partial contains 5.8S ribosomal RNA, internal transcribed spacer 2, and large subunit ribosomal RNA
Rfam family: 5.8S ribosomal RNA (bases 1-120)
Source: RNAcentral
GAUGAAGAACGCAGCGAAAUGCGAUAAGUAAUGUGAAUUGCAGAAUUCAGUGAAUCAUCGAAUCUUUGAACGCACAUUGCGCCCGCCAGUAUUCUGGCGGGCAUGCCUGUUCGAGCGUCAUUACAACCCUCAGGCCCCCGGGCCUGGCGUUGGGGAUCGGCGGAAGCCCCCUGCGGGCACAACGCCGUCCCCCAAAUCCAGUGGCGGUCCCGCCGCAGCUUCCAUUGCGUAGUAGCUAACACCUCGCAACUGGAGAGCGGCGCGGCCACGCCGUAAAACACCCAACUUCUGAAUGUUGACCUCGAAUCAGGUAGGAAUACCCGCUGAACUUAAGCAUAUCAAUAAGCGGAGGA